This 17-nucleotide unclassified non-coding RNA is filed under the name Mus musculus (house mouse). RNAcentral's name for it is "oocyte_clustered_small_RNA14174". The record is from RNAcentral. Lineage: Eukaryota; Metazoa; Chordata; Mammalia; Rodentia; Muridae.
UGUUGAGAACCUGGAAG